This 440-nucleotide ribosomal RNA is filed under the name uncultured bacterium. RNAcentral's name for it is "partial 16S ribosomal RNA". It matches the Rfam family "Bacterial small subunit ribosomal RNA", at positions 338 to 795 of the family's 1533-position model. The record is from RNAcentral.
CCUACGGGAGGCAGCAGUAGGGAAUAUUGCUCAAUGGGGGACACCCUGCAGCAGCCACGCCGCGUGGAGGAUGACGGUUUUAGGAGUGUACACUCCUUUUGUUAGAGAAGAUUAUGACGGUAUCUAACGAAUAAGCACCGGCGAACUCCGUGCCAGCAGCAGCGGUAAUACGGAGGGUGCCAGCGUUACUCGGAAGCACUGGGCGUAAAGGGUGUGUAGGCGGGGUAAUAAGUCAGAGGUGAAAUCCUGUAGCUUAACUACAGAACUGCAUUUGAAACUGUUACUCUGGAGUGUGGGAGAGGUAGGUGGAAUUCUUGGUGUAGGGGUAAAAUCCGUAGAGAUCAAGAGGAAUACUCAUUGCGAAGGCGACCUGCUGGAACAUUACUGACGCUGAUGCACGAAAGCGUGGGGAGCAAACAGGAUUAGAUACCCGAGUAGUC